GUCACAUGAAGCCACACCUUUCACUGGUCUUGCCUUCCCUACCCAGGUCAAAUAUGUAAGAGGGGAAGAGCAGCAAACUGUAUGUUAUUCUCACUUAACCUCUAUCACAUCCCGCGCACCUGAAAUACCGAGUGUAAACCAUGUCUUUCACUCCAAAGUCAUACAGUAAGCCCCAAACAGUUACAACUUCAAGCACUAGAUCCACCAAAACAGUGGAUGACGGCAAAAAGAAAUCCCUGCUGAGGGACAAUAGCUGGAUUAAGUCAAAUGUGAACGAGGAAGAACAAGUCGAACGUGAUGCGAACUUCGGCAAAAGUGUUCUGGGUCGUUAUAAGUCCACCGAAAACCUUGUCAACCCUCAAGAUAAAACUAGCAAAACCGAGAGCAAAACCAGCACUGUCACCACUUCAUCAGGUGCCUCUGUCCAAGCGCUCACUAAAAGAUUUGGUGGUAGCCAGGACAAACUGAAUGAAACCAG
RNAcentral lists this long non-coding RNA (478 nucleotides) under Sinocyclocheilus grahami. RNAcentral describes it as "lncRNA (ENSSGRG00000054864.1)". The record is from RNAcentral. Lineage: Eukaryota; Metazoa; Chordata; Actinopteri; Cypriniformes; Cyprinidae.